GCCUGGCUGGCUCAGUUGGUAGAGCAUGCAACUCUUGAUCUCAGGGUUGUGAGUUCGAGCCCCACGCUGGGUG
RNAcentral lists this transfer RNA (73 nucleotides) under Ailuropoda melanoleuca (giant panda). It matches the Rfam family "tRNA". From Rfam's summary of the family: Transfer RNA (tRNA) molecules are approximately 80 nucleotides in length. The record is from Rfam by way of RNAcentral. Lineage: Eukaryota; Metazoa; Chordata; Mammalia; Carnivora; Ursidae.